RNAcentral lists this ribosomal RNA (478 nucleotides) under uncultured bacterium. RNAcentral's name for it is "partial 16S ribosomal RNA". It matches the Rfam family "Bacterial small subunit ribosomal RNA", at positions 28 to 523 of the family's 1533-position model. The record is from RNAcentral.
GACGAACGCUGGCGGCGUGCUUAACACAUGCAAGUCGAACGGUAAGGCCCUUCGGGGUACACGAGUGGCGAACGGGUGAGUAACACGUGGGUGAUCUGCCCUGCACUUCGGGAUAAGCCUGGGAAACUGGGUCUAAUACCGGAUAGGACUCCUGGCUUCAUGGUUGGGGGUGGAAAGCUUUUGCGGUGUGGGAUGGGCCCGCGGCCUAUCAGCUUGUUGGUGGGGUAAUGGCCUACCAAGGCGACGACGGGUAGCCGGCCUGGGAGGGGGACCGGUCACACUGGGACUGAGAUACGGCCCAGACUCCUACGGGAGGCAGCAGUGGGGAAUAUUGCACAAUGGGCGCAAGCCUGAUGCAGCGACGCCGCGUGAGGGAUGACGGCCUUCGGGUUGUAAACCUCUUUCAGCUAUGACGAAGCGCAAGUGACGGUAGUAGCAGAAGAAGGACCGGCCAACUACGUGCCAGCCGCCGCUGUAA